This 726-nucleotide ribosomal RNA is filed under the name uncultured bacterium. RNAcentral's name for it is "bacterial SSU rRNA". It matches the Rfam family "Bacterial small subunit ribosomal RNA", at positions 1 to 712 of the family's 1533-position model. The record is from RNAcentral.
AAUUCGAUUGAGUUUGAUCAUGGCUCAGGACGAACGCUGGCGGCGUGCUUAACACAUGCAAGUGGAGCGACGAACCAGGCUUCGGCCUGGGGCAAAGCCGCGAACGGGUGAGUAACACGUGGGUAACCUGCCCUGAUGAUCGGGACAACCCGGGGAAACCCGGGCUAAUACCGAGUGUGCCCGCGAGCCACAAGGCUCGCGCGGAAAGGAAGCUUCGGCCUCCGCAUUGGGAUGGGCCCGCGGCCCAUUAGCUUGUUGGUGGGGUAAUGGCCUACCAAGGCAGCAAUGGGUAGCUGGUCUGAGAGGACGAUCAGCCACACUGGGACUGAGACACGGCCCAGACUCCUACGGGAGGCAGCAGUGGGGAAUCUUGCGCAAUGCGCGAAAGCGUGACGCAGCAACGCCGCGUGGGGGAAGACGGCCUUCGGGUUGUAAACCCCUUUCAGUUGGGACGAAGCUUCGUCGGUGAAUAGCCGGCUGGAGUGACGGUACCUUCAGAAGAAGCCCCGGCUAACUACGUGCCAGCAGCCGCGGUAAUACGUAGGGGGCAAGCGUUGUCCGGAAUCAUUGGGCGUAAAGAGCGUGUAGGCGGCCCGAUAAGUCCGCCGUGAAAGUCCAGGGCUCAACCCUGGAAUGCCGGUGGAUACUGUCGGGCUAGAGUCCGGAAGGGGCGAGUGGAAUUCCUGGUGUAGCGGUGAAAUGCGCAGAUAUCAGGAGGAACACCAA